ACGGCUCAGUAACACGUCGAUAAUCUAACUUACGGUCUGGGAUACGGUCGGGAAACUGACCCUAAAACCGGAUAGUGGAUUGGUGCUGGAAUGCUCUUUCCAUUAAAAGCAAUGCCGUAAGAUGAGUCGGCGGCUGAUUAGGCUGAUGGUGAGGUAAUGGCUCACCAUACCUAAGAUCAGUAGGGGGAAUGAGAGUUCACGCCCCGAGAAGGGCACUGAGAUAAGGGCCCUAGCCCUAAGGGGUGCAGCAGGCUAGUAUCCUUUACAAUGCGCGCAAGCGUGAUAAGGGAAUCCCAAGUGCUUAGUUUUUAACUAGGCUUUUGCCAAGCAUAAAUACCUUGGCGAAUAAGGGAUGGGUAAGACCGGUGCCAGCCGCCGCGGUAACACCGGCGUCCCGAGUGGUGGUCACAAUUAUUGGGUCUAAAGCGUCUGUAGCCGACUCGAAAAAUCUUUUGUGAAAUUGAUAGGCUUAACCUAUCAGCGCGCGAAAGACACUUUCGAGUUAGGAACUGGGAGGGGUCAAGGGAAUUCCUUGGGAAGCGGUAAAAUGUUUUAAUCCUUGGAAGACCACCUAUGGCGUAGGCACUUGACCAGAACAGAUUCGACGGUGAGAGACGAAAGCGGGGGGAGCGAUCAGGAUUAGAUACCCUAGUAGUCCCCGCUGUAAACGCUGCGAGCUAUGUGUUGCAUGCUCUUCGUGAACAUGCAGUGCCGGAGUGAAGACGUUAAGCUCGCCACCUGGGAAGUACGGCCGCAAGACUGAAACUUAAAGGAAUUGGCGGGGGAGCAC
This 790-nucleotide ribosomal RNA is filed under the name uncultured archaeon. RNAcentral's name for it is "bacterial SSU rRNA". It matches the Rfam family "Archaeal small subunit ribosomal RNA", at positions 85 to 879 of the family's 1478-position model. The record is from RNAcentral.